UACGUAGGGUGCAGGCGUUAAUCGGAAUUACUGGGCGUAAAGCGUGCGCAGGCGGUCUGCUAAGAGAGGUGUGAAAUCCCCGGGCUUAACCUGGGAACUGCGCUUCUAACUGGCAGGCUUGAGUGUGGCAGAGGGGGGUGGAAUUCCACGUGUAGCAGUGAAAUGCGUAGAUAUCUGGAGGAACACCGGUGGCGAAGGCGGCAUCCUGGACCGACACUGACGCUGAGGAGCGAAAGCCAGGGGAGCAAACGGG
RNAcentral lists this ribosomal RNA (253 nucleotides) under uncultured bacterium. RNAcentral describes it as "partial 16S ribosomal RNA". It matches the Rfam family "Bacterial small subunit ribosomal RNA", at positions 524 to 776 of the family's 1533-position model. The record is from RNAcentral.